CCGGCCUCCCGCCCCCCGGGCGGGUCGGCGCCCGCCGGAGGAUAACCAAACUCUGAUUUAACGACGUUUCUUCUGAGUGGUACAAGCAAAUAAUCAAAACUUUUAACAACGGAUCUCUUGGUUCUGGCAUCGAUGAAGAACGCAGCGAAAUGCGAUAAGUAAUGUGAAUUGCAGAAUUCAGUGAAUCAUCGAAUCUUUGAACGCACAUUGCGCCCGCCAGCAUUCUGGCGGGCAUGCCUGUUCGAGCGUCAUUUCAACCCUCAAGCUCUGCUUGGUGUUGGGGCCCUACAGCUGAUGUAGGCCCUCAAAGGUAGUGGCGGACCCUCCCGGAGCCUCCUUUGCGUAGUAACUUUACGUCUCGCACUGGGAUCCGGAGGGACUCUUGCCGUAAAACCCCCAAUUUUCCAAAGGUUGACCUCGGAUCAGGUAGGAAUACCCGCUGAACUUAAGCAUA
Molecule: ribosomal RNA, 454 nt
Filed under: Colletotrichum gloeosporioides
Lineage: Eukaryota; Fungi; Ascomycota; Sordariomycetes; Glomerellales; Glomerellaceae
Description: eukaryotic LSU rRNA
Rfam family: 5.8S ribosomal RNA (bases 98-251)
Source: RNAcentral